This 464-nucleotide ribosomal RNA is filed under the name uncultured bacterium. RNAcentral's name for it is "partial 16S ribosomal RNA". It matches the Rfam family "Bacterial small subunit ribosomal RNA", at positions 339 to 795 of the family's 1533-position model. The record is from RNAcentral.
CUACGGGUCGCAGCAGUGGGGAAUAUUGCACAAUGGGCGCAAGCCUGAUGCAGCCAUGCCGCGUGUAUGAAGAAGGCCUUCGGGUUGUAAAGUACUUUCAGCGGGGAGGAAAGGAGUAAAGUUAAUACCUUUGCUCAUUGACGUUACCCGCAGAAGAAGCACCGGCUAACUCCGUGCCAGCAGCCGCGGUAAUGCGGAGGGUGCAAGCGUUAAUCGGAAUUACUGGGCGUAAAGCGCACGCAGGCGGUUUGUUAAGUCAGAUGUGAAAUCCCCGGGCUCAACCUGGGAACUGCAUCUGAUACUGGCAAGCUUGAGUCUCGUAGAGGGGGGUAGAAUUCCAGGUGUAGCGGUGAAAUGCGUAGAGAUCUGGAGGAAUACCGGUGGCGAAGGCGGCCCCCUGGACGAAGACUGACGCUCAGGUGCGAAAGCGUGGGGAGCAAACAGGAUUAGAUACCCUAGUAGUC